This is a long non-coding RNA of Bombyx mori (domestic silkworm), 445 nucleotides long. RefSeq lists it as uncharacterized. NCBI's taxonomy places the organism in Eukaryota, Metazoa, Arthropoda, Insecta, Lepidoptera, Bombycidae. The record is from RefSeq and is a predicted model, not a curated record. The transcript has 2 exons.
AUUGCUAGUUCAGGUAAGAUUGUCCGUUUUGUGGAUUCAAAAUUUUUUUUUCUACUUGAAUAACGGUAAUAAGGGUUAAAUAAGGAUUAUAUGUAUAUGUACCAGGAUUGAAGGAUUACUCGUAGCCCGUAGGCCUUGCCAGUUUCACCAGAACAGGUGGGCGAGCAAAGGCUCAGCCAAGAGGGGGGGAAUUUGCUAACAGCUGCCCGAGCGCCUCCGAAGGAGACCUAGCAACUCCAAAACAGCUGCUUCGAGAAUGAAUUUACUACCGGAUCGGAAGCGCGACCCGCUGAGAAGAUCCGGAGAGAAACUCAGCGAGCUGAUUUUGUGAGAAGAUAAGGAAUGGUGUUUAUAAAUUCAACAAUGUUUAAACAUAGUGAAUCCUACCAGGAAUAUCUGGUUACCGUGUUGAAUUUCCUGAAUUACAAUACAAUUAUGCAUAUAA